This 1372-nucleotide ribosomal RNA is filed under the name uncultured bacterium. RNAcentral's name for it is "bacterial SSU rRNA". It matches the Rfam family "Bacterial small subunit ribosomal RNA", at positions 28 to 1381 of the family's 1533-position model. The record is from RNAcentral.
GAUGAACGCUGGCGGCGUGCCUAAUACAUGCAAGUCGAGCGAACGGACGAGAAGCUUGCUUCUCUGAUGUUAGCGGCGGACGGGUGAGUAACACGUGGAUAACCUACCUAUAAGACUGGGAUAACUUCGGGAAACCGGAGCUAAUACCGGAUAAUAUUUUGAACCGCAUGGUUCAAAAGUGAAAGACGGUCUUGCUGUCACUUAUAGAUGGAUCCGCGCUGCAUUAGCUAGUUGGUAAGGUAACGGCUUACCAAGGCAACGAUGCAUAGCCGACCUGAGAGGGUGAUCGGCCACACUGGAACUGAGGCACGGUCCAGACUCCUACGGGAGGCAGCAGUAGGGAAUCUUCCGCAAUGGGCGAAAGCCUGACGGAGCAACGCCGCGUGAGUGAUGAAGGUCUUCGGAUCGUAAAACUCUGUUAUUAGGGAAGAACAUAUGUGUAAGUAACUGUGCACAUCUUGACGGUACCUAAUCAGAAAGCCACGGCUAACUACGUGCCAGCAGCCGCGGUAAUACGUAGGUGGCAAGCGUUAUCCGGAAUUAUUGGGCGUAAAGCGCGCGUAGGCGGUUUUUUAAGUCUGAUGUGAAAGCCCACGGCUCAACCGUGGAGGGUCAUUGGAAACUGGAAAACUUGAGUGCAGAAGAGGAAAGUGGAAUUCCAUGUGUAGCGGUGAAAUGCGCAGAGAUAUGGAGGAACACCAGUGGCGAAGGCGACUUUCUGGUCUGUAACUGACGCUGAUGUGCGAAAGCGUGGGGAUCAAACAGGAUUAGAUACCCUGGUAGUCCACGCCGUAAACGAUGAGUGCUAAGUGUUAGGGGGUUUCCGCCCCUUAGUGCUGCAGCUAACGCAUUAAGCACUCCGCCUGGGGAGUACGACCGCAAGGUUGAAACUCAAAGGAAUUGACGGGGACCCGCACAAGCGGUGGAGCAUGUGGUUUAAUUCGAAGCAACGCGAAGAACCUUACCAAAUCUUGACAUCCUUUGACAACUCUAGAGAUAGAGCUUUCCCCUUCGGGGGACAAAGUGACAGGUGGUGCAUGGUUGUCGUCAGCUCGUGUCGUGAGAUGUUGGGUUAAGUCCCGCAACGAGCGCAACCCUUAAGCUUAGUUGCCAUCAUUAAGUUGGGCACUCUAAGUUGACUGCCGGUGACAAACCGGAGGAAGGUGGGGAUGACGUCAAAUCAUCAUGCCCCUUGUGAUUUGGGCUACACACGUGCUACAAUGGACAAUACAAAGGGCAGCGAAACCGCGAGGUCAAGCAAAUCCCAUAAAGUUGUUCUCAGUUCGGAUUGUAGUCUGCAACUCGACUACAUGAAGCUGGAAUCGCUAGUAAUCGUAGAUCAGCAUGCUACGGUGAAUACGUUCCCGGGUCU